GACGAACGCUGGCGGCGUGCUUAACACAUGCAAGUCGAACGGCGAACCUCUUCGGAGGGGAUCAGUGGCGAACGGGUGAGUGACACGUGGGCAACUUCCCCCCGGCCUUCGGUUAACUCCAAGAAAUUGGGGCUAAUACUGGACGUAUACCGCAUCCCGCCUGGGUGGGGGUGCAAAGGGUUUUCGGCCGGGGAUGGGUGCGCGGCCUAUCUGCUUGUUGGUGGGGUAGUGGCCUACCAAGCCGACGACGGGUAGCCGGCCUGAGAGGGGUACCGGCCACACUGGGACUGAGGCACGGCCCAGACUCCUACGGGAGGCAGCAGUGGGGAAUAUUGCGCAAUGGGCGGAAGCCUGACGCAGCGACGCCGCGUGUGGGAUGACGGCCUUCGGGUUGUAAACCUCUUUCAGCAGGGACGAAGCGCAAGUGACGGUACCUGCAGAAGAAGCACCGGCCAACUACGUG
RNAcentral lists this ribosomal RNA (463 nucleotides) under uncultured bacterium. RNAcentral describes it as "partial 16S ribosomal RNA". It matches the Rfam family "Bacterial small subunit ribosomal RNA", at positions 28 to 507 of the family's 1533-position model. The record is from RNAcentral.